This 636-nucleotide ribosomal RNA is filed under the name Arthrobacter sp. TN151B. Its description in RNAcentral is "bacterial SSU rRNA". It matches the Rfam family "Bacterial small subunit ribosomal RNA", at positions 34 to 685 of the family's 1533-position model. Lineage: Bacteria; Bacillati; Actinomycetota; Actinomycetes; Micrococcales; Micrococcaceae. The record is from RNAcentral.
CGCUGGCGGCGUGCUUAACACAUGCAAGUCGAACGAUGAUGCCAGCUUGCUGGUGGAUUAGUGGCGAACGGGUGAGUAACACGUGAGUAACCUGCCCUUGACUCUGGGAUAAGCCUGGGAAACUGGGUCUAAUACCGGAUAUGACCUUCCAUCGCAUGGUGGUUGGUGGAAAGCUUUUGUGGUUUUGGAUGGACUCGCGGCCUAUCAGCUUGUUGGUGGGGUAAUGGCCUACCAAGGCGACGACGGGUAGCCGGCCUGAGAGGGUGACCGGCCACACUGGGACUGAGACACGGCCCAGACUCCUACGGGAGGCAGCAGUGGGGAAUAUUGCACAAUGGGCGCAAGCCUGAUGCAGCGACGCCGCGUGAGGGAUGACGGCCUUCGGGUUGUAAACCUCUUUCAGUAGGGAAGAAGCGUAAGUGACGGUACCUGCAGAAGAAGCGCCGGCUAACUACGUGCCAGCAGCCGCGGUAAUACGUAGGGCGCAAGCGUUAUCCGGAAUUAUUGGGCGUAAAGAGCUCGUAGGCGGUUUGUCGCGUCUGCCGUGAAAGUCCGGGGCUCAACUCCGGAUCUGCGGUGGGUACGGGCAGACUAGAGUGAUGUAGGGGAGACUGGAAUUCCUGGUGUAGCGGUGAA